Molecule: ribosomal RNA, 515 nt
Filed under: uncultured bacterium
Lineage: Bacteria
Description: partial 16S ribosomal RNA
Rfam family: Bacterial small subunit ribosomal RNA
Source: RNAcentral
GAUGAACGCUGGCGGCGUGCCUAAUACAUGCAAGUCGAGCGAAUGGAUUAAGAGCUUGCUCUUAUGAAGUUAGCGGCGGACGGGUGAGUAACACGUGGGUAACCUGCCCAUAAGACUGGGAUAACUCCGGGAAACCGGGGCUAAUACCGGAUAACAUUUUGAACCGCAUGGUUCGAAAUUGAACGGCGGCUUCGGCUGUCACUUACGGAUGGACCCGCGUGGCAUUCGCAAGUUGGUGAGGUAACGGCUCACCAAGGCAACGAUGCGUAGCCGACCUGGGAGGGUGCUCGGCCACACUGGGACUGAGACACGGCCCAGACUCCUACGGGAGGCAGCAGUAGGGAAUCUUCCGCAAUGGACGAAAGUCUGACGGAGCAACGCCGCGUGAGUGAUGAAGGCUUUCGGGUCGUAAAACUCUGUUGUUAGGGAAGAACAAGUGCUAGUUGAAUAAGCUGGCACCUUGACGGUACCUAACCAGAAAGCCACGGCUAACUACGUGCCAGCAGCCGCGGUAA